This is a long non-coding RNA of Dreissena polymorpha, 271 nucleotides long. RefSeq lists it as uncharacterized. The transcript is spliced from 3 exons. Lineage: Eukaryota; Metazoa; Mollusca; Bivalvia; Myida; Dreissenidae. The record is from RefSeq and is a predicted model, not a curated record.
CUAUUACAACAAAAAAAGACCAGGCACAACGCAAUCCAAGCCAGCACAUGUCCAUAAUUAUCGAUGGUAUGGAUCAAGCAAAGACCAAUUUGCCACAUUUUGCUGGGAGGAACCCAAAGAAUCUGCAUGCAGUGGAUCUUCUGCAUACUCAUGUCACUGGAGUGCUAAGUCACGGGCAUGGAGGGUUUCAUGCCUAUGUGGACAUUACUGAAUAUCCUCAUGAUCCCAACUUGACAAUCAACAUCAUACUUAAAGAGCUACUACGUCAAGC